GAUGAACGCUGGCGGCGUGCCUAAUACAUGCAAGUCGAGCGAACAGAUGAGGAGCUUGCUCCUCUGACGUUAGCGGCGGACGGGUGAGUAACACGUGGAUAACCUACCUAUAAGACUGGGAUAACUUCGGGAAACCGGAGCUAAUACCGGAUAAUAUAUUGAACCGCAUGGUUCACUAGUGAAAGACGGUUUUGCUGUCACUUAUAGAUGGAUCCGCGCCGCAUUAGCUAGUUGGUAAGGUAACGGCUUACCAAGGCGACGAUGCGUAGCCGACCUGAGAGGGUGAUCGGCCACACUGGAACUGAGACACGGUCCAGACUCCUACGGGAGGCAGCAGUAGGGAAUCUUCCGCAAUGGGCGAAAGCCUGACGGAGCAACGCCGCGUGAGUGAUGAAGGUCUUCGGAUCGUAAAACUCUGUUAUUAGGGAAGAACAAAUGUGUAAGUAACUAUGCACGUCUUGACGGUACCUAAUCAGAAAGCCACGGCUAACUACGUG
This 497-nucleotide ribosomal RNA is filed under the name uncultured bacterium. RNAcentral's name for it is "partial 16S ribosomal RNA". It matches the Rfam family "Bacterial small subunit ribosomal RNA", at positions 28 to 507 of the family's 1533-position model. The record is from RNAcentral.